CGUGUAGGCGGCCAGGUAGGUCUGCUGUGAAAACUCGAGGCUUAACCUCGAGAUGUCGGCGGAAACCAUCUGGCUAGAGUCCGGAAGAGGAGAAUGGAAUUCCCGGUGUAGCGGUGAAAUGCGCAGAUAUCGGGAAGAACACCCGUGGCGAAGGCGGUUCUCUGGGACGGUACUGACGCUGAGACGCGAAAGCGUGGGGAGCGAACA
RNAcentral lists this ribosomal RNA (207 nucleotides) under uncultured bacterium. Its description in RNAcentral is "partial 16S ribosomal RNA". It matches the Rfam family "Bacterial small subunit ribosomal RNA", at positions 568 to 774 of the family's 1533-position model. The record is from RNAcentral.